RNAcentral lists this small nuclear RNA (126 nucleotides) under Cryptosporidium parvum. Lineage: Eukaryota; Apicomplexa; Conoidasida; Eucoccidiorida; Cryptosporidiidae. The record is from RNAcentral.
ACUUUAUUGUGAUGAUUUAUGUUCUACUCAAUCACGACGGUCUACUGACUACUAACAAAUAUUAUUGUUAAUAUAAUGGAGAAAGAGUGGAACUCUGAAUUUAGUAUUGUUUAUUUUUCUUUCAAA